Molecule: non-coding RNA, 240 nt
Organism: Pelobates cultripes (western spadefoot toad)
Lineage: Eukaryota; Metazoa; Chordata; Amphibia; Anura; Pelobatidae
Source: the annotation of a GenBank genome assembly
CCAAGGCUUCCCUUGCGAUUUGUGGUUUUAACACCUUGUUAUGAGGUGUGAACGUUCUGAGAUAACAUUCUAAUUGGGGUUUUGUGGUGGUCCACGUUCGGAAGGUGAAUGGAUUCCCUUCGUGACAGCACCUCCCGCACCGCGAGCAGACAGUUUUAGGCAAACACACAGAGCAAACUACAGUUGCAAGAUAGGGAAUAUAGCGAAAAGGAAGGGAGAACACAUACAAAAACAGUACAC